RNAcentral lists this long non-coding RNA (634 nucleotides) under Medicago truncatula (barrel medic). RNAcentral's name for it is "long non-coding RNA (MTRU_LNC005413)". Lineage: Eukaryota; Viridiplantae; Streptophyta; Magnoliopsida; Fabales; Fabaceae. The record is from RNAcentral.
CAGUACACAAUUUUCUUUGAUAUCAAAUAAUUCAACAUGAUUUUAUUAUUGGACAGGAAAACAAAUGCAACCCCAUUGUAAGAAAUUCAGGAAGAGCUAUAAGAUCAGAUUUGAAAUCAUCACUAGGAAACGUGUGAUUCUUUUUAUUUAUGUGUGUAAAUAAAUUCACCAACAUAAAGAAAAUAAAUAAUUAAUGAUUUUAGUAACUAGAAAAAAUAGCCCCACUUUGAAACAUGACACAUGAACUAAUCCAAUCUCAAACAGUUAUCAGAUUCCUGUGAAUCGUUUUGAAUAGCUACUUUUGCAGCAGGGACCGGCGGGGAGCGGUCCAUGGUGCAUUUGAAGGUGGUGCUGCUUGAGGGGCCGGUGUAGGUGAGGGUACAGGAGACCAAUUUAUCUCUGAUGCCUGCACGCUAGCAACCCAUGGUGCAUUUGAAGGAGGUGCGGCUUCAGGGGCUGGUGUAGGUGAGGGCGAGGGCACCGGAGACCAAGUUAACUCUGAUGUCUGCACGCUAGCAGCCCAUGGUGCAUUUGAAGGCGGUGCUGCUUCAGGGGCCGGCACAGGUGAGGGUGAGGGGGAGGCUGAAGGUGAGGAGGGUGCUGGAUACCAACCAUCUUGUUUUGGUAAAACAUU